Molecule: ribosomal RNA, 280 nt
Filed under: uncultured Nitrobacter sp.
Lineage: Bacteria; Pseudomonadati; Pseudomonadota; Alphaproteobacteria; Hyphomicrobiales; Nitrobacteraceae
Description: partial 16S ribosomal RNA
Rfam family: Bacterial small subunit ribosomal RNA
Source: RNAcentral
AACCCCUAGCAAAUCUCAAAAAAGCCGUCUCAGUUCGGAUUGGGCUCUGCAACCCGAGCCCAUGAAGUUGGAAUCGCUAGUAAUCGUGGAUCAGCAUGCCACGGUGAAUACGUUCCCGGGCCUUGUACACACCGCCCGUCACACCAUGGGAGUUGGUUUUACCUGAAGGCGGUGCGCUAACCCGCAAGGGAGGCAGCCGACCACGGUAGGGUCAGCGACUGGGGUGAAGUCGUAACAAGGUAGCCGUAGGGGAACCUGCGGCUGGAUCACCUCCUUUAUG